RNAcentral lists this ribosomal RNA (260 nucleotides) under uncultured archaeon. Its description in RNAcentral is "partial 16S ribosomal RNA". It matches the Rfam family "Archaeal small subunit ribosomal RNA", at positions 748 to 1008 of the family's 1478-position model. The record is from RNAcentral.
AGGGUGUAAACGCUGCGGGCUUGGUGUUGGGGGUCCUUUGAGGGCGCCCAGUGCCGGAGAGAAGUUGUUAAGCCUGCUGCUUGGGAGUACGUCCGCAAGGAUGAAACUUAAAGGAACUGGCGGGGGAGCACCGCAACGGGAGGAGCGUGCGGUUCAAUUGGAUUCAACGCCGGACAACUCACCAGGAGCGACGGUUACAUGAAGGCCAGGCUGAUGACCUUGCCUGAUUUUCCGAGAGGUGGUGCAUGGCGUCAGUGACU